CAGAGAGCUGCAGAGGAGGCCAGAAGGAGGAGGAUGAGAAUCGAGCGAAGAAGGUGGCUCCUUAAGAAGAGACAAAAAGAGAUGGAGCAAAUGCACAGGGCCUUGAGACAACUGCAAAAGCAAAUGGAUAGGCUGAUUCAAAUGAAUAGGGAAACAAACAGCAUGGUCAAGAAGAUUUGCAUUUGCUCGCGGACAGAGACAUUUGAAGGAGGAGCCAGCCAAAUGCCAGGAGAUUGAUUCAAAUUGUAGGCCUUGCAUUUGCUCGGGGAUGGUGGCGUUUGAAGGAAGAUCGGGCCAAAUGACUGAUACCUAUUUUUAAAUAGCUUAGAAAUAGUUUCAGUAUUGUAAACAUUUACUAAACAUUUAGUAAAAUAACUAGAUUUAGCACUGUUUUCCUAAUUUUCAUAAUUUUAAGGCAGAAUAAUACUCCAGUAAAAUAUCAUUAUAAUGGUAAUAAUAAGUAAUAGUUAGGUACCUAAAUGUAUUAUUUACUUUAUAGAUUAACUGUUAUUCAGCAAAAUUAAUAGGAAUUAUGCUAAUUAAUUACAAUAGAAGUAUGAUAAAUCUUUAUCUUAAAUAGUGAAUUUUACAUAAUCUGCAUGAAAAAAUAAUUAUUUUUUACAUUAUUAAUAUUAAUAUAUAACCAUAUACAGAUUGCAGUUAGAUAAUUUUGACGAUAUUCAAAAUUCGUUAAUUUCAAUGUUUAAAACAUGUUAUUGUAACCUGAUAAUGAUGCUGACAGCCCUCCUCUCUUGGGAGUGUCAUCCCUCUGGGAGCUGCAGUCAGUGUAAAGAUCCAAUAAAGGCAAUGCCUGAACAAACA
Molecule: long non-coding RNA, 822 nt
Organism: Passer domesticus (house sparrow)
Lineage: Eukaryota; Metazoa; Chordata; Aves; Passeriformes; Passeridae
Exons: 3
Source: RefSeq, a predicted model, not a curated record